This 253-nucleotide ribosomal RNA is filed under the name uncultured bacterium. RNAcentral describes it as "partial 16S ribosomal RNA". It matches the Rfam family "Bacterial small subunit ribosomal RNA", at positions 524 to 776 of the family's 1533-position model. The record is from RNAcentral.
UACGUAGGUGGCAAGCGUUGUCCGGAUUUAUUGGGUUUAAAGGGUGCGUAGGCGGCUUUUUAAGUCAGUGGUGAAAGCCGAUCGCUUAACGAUCGAACUGCCAUUGAUACUGAGAGGCUUGAGUAGAGUUGAGGUAGGCGGAAUUGACAGUGUAGAGGUGAAAUGCAUAGAUAUUGUGAAGAACACCAGUUGCGAAGGCAGCUUACUAGAGUAUAACUGACGCUGAGGCACGAAAGUGUGGGGAUCAAACAGG